RNAcentral lists this ribosomal RNA (276 nucleotides) under uncultured bacterium. Its description in RNAcentral is "partial 16S ribosomal RNA". It matches the Rfam family "Bacterial small subunit ribosomal RNA", at positions 332 to 607 of the family's 1533-position model. The record is from RNAcentral.
CGGGCCUACGGGAGGCAGCAGUGAGGAAUAUUGGUCAAUGGUCGGGAGACUGAACCAGCCAAGCCGCGUGAGGGAUGAAGGUACAGAGUAUCGUAAACCUCUUUUGUCAGGGAACAAAGGCGGGGACGUGUCCCCGGAUGAGUGUACCCGAAGAAAAGGCAUCGGCUAACUCCGUGCCAGCAGCCGCGGUAGUACGGAGGAUGCGAGCGUUAUCCGGAUUUAUUGGGUUUAAAGGGGGCGCAGGCGGUCUGUUAAGUCAGCGGUCAAAGCCCGGGG